GACGAACGCUGGCGGCGUGCUUAACACAUGCAAGUCGAACGGUGACGAGGAGCUUGCUCCUCUGAUCAGUGGCGAACGGGUGAGUAACACGUGAGCAACCUGCCCCAGACUCUGGGAUAACAGUUGGAAACAGCUGCUAAUACCGGAUACGAGACGGAGAGGCAUCUCUACCGUCUGGAAAGUUUUUCGGUCUGGGAUGGACUCGCGGCCUAUCAGCUAGUUGGUGAGGUAAUGGCUCACCAAGGCGACGACGGGUAGCCGGCCUGAGAGGGCGACCGGCCACACUGGGACUGAGACACGGCCCAGACUCCUACGGGAGGCAGCAGUGGGGAAUAUUGCACAAUGGGCGAAAGCCUGAUGCAGCGACGCCGCGUGAGGGAUGACGGCCUGGUUGUAACGUACGUUCUACGUCAGGAAGAAGACGAAAGUAGACGGUACCGUACG
This 444-nucleotide ribosomal RNA is filed under the name uncultured bacterium. Its description in RNAcentral is "bacterial SSU rRNA". It matches the Rfam family "Bacterial small subunit ribosomal RNA", at positions 28 to 484 of the family's 1533-position model. The record is from RNAcentral.